This 534-nucleotide ribosomal RNA is filed under the name uncultured bacterium. RNAcentral describes it as "bacterial SSU rRNA". It matches the Rfam family "Bacterial small subunit ribosomal RNA", at positions 777 to 1315 of the family's 1533-position model. The record is from RNAcentral.
AAUAGAUACCCUGGUAGUCCACACAGUAAACGAUGAAUACUCGCUGUUUGCGAUAUACCGCAAGCGGCCAAGCGAAAGCAUUAAGUAUUCCACCUGGGGAGUACGCCGGCAACGGUGAAACUCAAAGGAAUUGACGGGGGGCCCGCACAAGCGGAGGAACAUGUGGUUUAAUUCGAUGAUACGCGAGGAACCUUACCCAGGCUUAAAUUGCAGAUGAAUAUUUAGGAAACUAGAUAGCCUUCGGGCAUCUGUGAAGGUGCUGCAUGGUUGUCGUCAGCUCGUGCCGUGAGGUGUCGGCUUAAGUGCCAUAACGAGCGCAACCCUUAUUGAUAGUUACUAACAGGUUAAGCUGAGGACUCUAUCGAGACUGCCGUCGUAAGAUGCGAGGAAGGUGGGGAUGACGUCAAAUCAGCACGGCCCUUACGUCUGGGGUCUACACACGUGUUACAAUGGGGGGUACAGAAGGUCGCUACCUGGCAACAGGAUGCUAAUCCCAAAAGCCUCCCUCAGUUCGGAUUGGAGUCUGCAACCCGA